This 383-nucleotide ribosomal RNA is filed under the name uncultured eukaryote. Its description in RNAcentral is "partial 18S ribosomal RNA". It matches the Rfam family "Eukaryotic small subunit ribosomal RNA", at positions 592 to 976 of the family's 1831-position model. The record is from RNAcentral.
CAAUAGCGUAUAUUAAAGUUGUUGCAGUUAAAAAGCUCGUAGUUGGAUUUCUGGUGGGAGCGAUCGGUCUGGCGCUUAGCGCGAGUACUUGCAUCGUCUCCGGCCAUCCUUGGGGAGAGUCUGUCUGGCAUUAGGUUGUCGGGCAGAGGAUCCUCAUCGUUUACUGUGAAAAAAUUAGAGUGUCCAAAGCAGGCUUAUGCCGUUGAAUAUAUUAGCAUGGAAUAAUAAGAUAGGACUUUGGCACUAUUUUGUUGGUUUGCGCACCAAAGUAAUGAUUAAUAGGGACAGUUGGGGGUAUUCGUAUUCCGUUGUCAGAGGUGAAAUUCUUGGAUUUACGGAAGACGAACUACUGCGAAAGCAUUUACCAAGGAUGUUUUCAUUAA